AGAUGGAGAUGGGAACACCUGAAGCAGCAAAGAAGAGGAUCCUCCCAACUUGGAUGACAAAGAGGGCACUUGAGCCAGCACAACGACUGGCAGAAGUGAAGCCAAGGAGAAGGAAAAAAGCAGCUUUGAUGAGGAGUGCAUGGACAAGGAAGUGGCAAUCGCUUUGUCAGAAGAUGAAGCCCAAGGCUCUCAGCUAGUGCUGAAAGAUCCUCAGCAGCAUCCAAUGAGUGACGAUACUGACAGCAAAGCCAAAAUUGCUAACACAGCAUCCAAACCUCUAAACAAUCUGGGGACUUUAGUUUGCAGUGAGAAAAUAAAAUUGGAUGACAAUGACGACGAUGUAUUAAAAUAUGUCCGGGAAA
Molecule: long non-coding RNA, 362 nt
Organism: Hemicordylus capensis (graceful crag lizard)
Lineage: Eukaryota; Metazoa; Chordata; Lepidosauria; Squamata; Cordylidae
Exons: 2
Source: RefSeq, a predicted model, not a curated record